Molecule: long non-coding RNA, 730 nt
Filed under: Anas platyrhynchos platyrhynchos (common mallard)
Lineage: Eukaryota; Metazoa; Chordata; Aves; Anseriformes; Anatidae
Description: lncRNA (ENSAPLG00000030790.1)
Source: RNAcentral
CCAGGCGAGCUGCGCCCCCCACCCCGCCCCCCCCCCCCCGGGGGCCUGCCCCCCCCCUGUCCCCCAGCCCCCACCCCCCCCCCCCCCCACAACCUCUACACCCACCCUUCCCAUACCUCAGAGCCUUGCCCUGUGAGGCUCUGCCCUGUGCCCCCCCCCGCUCGCCAGGCUGCGCUCACCAUCCCUGCUCUUUCUGCCCAGGCCCCCCCCUCGGACAGGCCGCCCCCCCCCACCCGCCCGCUGCCUGCGGACCCCGUGGCGCCAGGCACUCAGCCCCCCGCUCCUGCCAAGCCCCCCCCACCUCGCCGGCCCCUGCCCUCGGACCCCCCGGGGCCUUCACUGCCACGCAGCGAGAGCCCCCCCGGCCACCCCCACGUCACCGUCAUCCCUUCCAGGUGAGUGGGGGGGGCAGGAUUUUUUAAUUUUUUAUUGGGGGGGGGGAGAGGGUACACUGAGGGGCUGCAGGCAGUUUUGGGGGGGUAGUGGGGGGUGUGGGGGCACAGGGGGUGUGCUGGGGGGGCCCCUCGCUGCAUCCACCCCCCCUCACUGCCCCUUUCCCCUCCCCAGGCCGGCGCCGCCGCCCCCCGCGGGCACCCCCCGGGAGGCCUGAGCGGGGCCGGGACCGCCGCUGGAGCCGCCGGGCCGGGAGGGGGGCCGGGGGGGGGGCUCGCCGCCUGCUUGUCGCCGCCGGGCCAAUAAAGGGGCCGUGAGCCUGCCUCCGUGCUGCCUC